CCUUCGUCUGUGCACACAGGUCCUUCCUCCCGGUGCUCACCUGGGGAAGGUCUCCCUUCGUCUGUGCACACAGGUCCUUCCUCCCGGUGCUCACCUGGGGAAGGCCUCCCUCCAUCUGAGCACACAGGUCCUUCCUCUCCGUGGGACUGGUGCUCUGCUGGAAACGAGCCUGCAUUAUAUAGUCAAAUGUGCUCAAGUGCUUGGCCACUGAAAAAAGGAGGGCAGGGAAGGAUAUCAUCAACCAGCAUGCAAGCAUGGCAUCCACAGCACCCCAUGAGCACCCUCCCAGGAGUCCUGCCCGUGAAGAACAUGUGCUCUGCCUCAUAGAUCCGAGGAGACCAGAGGAUGAGAGAGCCUCCCACCGCGUUGCUGGCAGAAUGGCACGUGGUGUCUGUGAAGACAGACUGGCAGUUGAAUUAUAUCUGAGGUUCAUUUUUAUUGCACUAAAUACUGGGUUACCUCUGACUAAAAUGCUGAAAAUAGAAAAUCAUAACAUUCGUGGUAGAUAGAAUGUACCUCUAAAGCAUAACUAAACACACCAGUGGUGUGAAAGUUACAAGUGAAUUAACUGAAGUAUAACAGACUUCACAGAGAGCUCUAAUAGCAUACAUUUUAAGAAAGACUAGGUCAAAGCCCCACAAAAUCAGCACCAGGAAAUGAUAUACGCAAGAGAGGGGUGGGAACAGGGGAGAGGAGUAGACGAAUGAAGGGGGAAGAGGGAAGGAUGCAGUCAAAAAGUCACUGUAUAUACCACAAAAUUAAGAAAAGCGAGGAAAGGGGGUGAGAAUAUUGAAGG
Perognathus longimembris pacificus (Pacific pocket mouse) is the source of this 796-nucleotide long non-coding RNA. RefSeq lists it as uncharacterized. The record is from RefSeq and is a predicted model, not a curated record. The transcript is spliced from 3 exons. Lineage: Eukaryota; Metazoa; Chordata; Mammalia; Rodentia; Heteromyidae.